This 101-nucleotide non-coding RNA is filed under the name Rubrivivax sp. RNAcentral's name for it is "SAH sequence". It matches the Rfam family "SAH (S-adenosyl-L-homocysteine) riboswitch aptamer". Lineage: Bacteria; Pseudomonadati; Pseudomonadota; Betaproteobacteria; Burkholderiales; Sphaerotilaceae. The record is from RNAcentral.
CUUCCCGAGGAGCGUUGCGACGGUCGUUCGACCGCCAGGCUCGGGGCCCCGCGCCGCGUGAGCACGCUGCCGCGCGGGAUCGAGAACGGCGCUCGCCUCCC